GACGAACGCUGGCGGCGUGCUUAACACAUGCAAGUCGAACGCUGAAGCUCAGCUUGCUGGGUGGAUGAGUGGCGAACGGGUGAGUAACACGUGAGUAACCUGCCCUCUUCUUUGGGAUAACGCCCGGAAACGGGUGCUAAUACUGGAUAUUCACUGAUUCUCGCAUGGGGGUUGGUGGAAAGGUUUUUUCUGGUGGGGGAUGGGCUCGCGGCCUAUCAGCUUGUUGGUGGGGUGAUGGCCUACCAAGGCUUUGACGGGUAGCCGGCCUGAGAGGGUGACCGGUCACAUUGGGACUGAGAUACGGCCCAGACUCCUACGGGAGGCAGAAGUGGGGAAUAUUGCACAAUGGGCGAAAGCCUGAUGCAGCGACGCCGCGUGAGGGUUGGAGGCCUUCGGGUUGUAAACCUCUUUCGCUCAUGGUCAAGCCGCAGCUUUGGGUUGUGGUGAGGGUAGUGGGUAAAGAAGCGCCGGCUAACUACGUG
Molecule: ribosomal RNA, 482 nt
Filed under: uncultured bacterium
Lineage: Bacteria
Description: partial 16S ribosomal RNA
Rfam family: Bacterial small subunit ribosomal RNA
Source: RNAcentral